AGGGCACCACCAGGAGUGGAGCCUGCGGCUUAAUUUGACUCAACACGGGAAAACUCACCCGGCCCGGACACCGUAAGGAUUGACAGACUGAGAGCUCUUUCUUAAUUCGGUGGGUGGUGGUGCAUGGCCGUUCUUAGUUGGUGGGGCGAUUUGUCUGGUUAAUUCCGAUAACGAACGAGACUCUGGCCUAUUAAAUAGACGGUAUAUCGAAAAGUAUAUCGCGCUUCUUAGAGGGACAAGCGGCGUCUAGCCGCAUGAAAUAGAGCAAUAACAGGUCUGUGAUGCCCUUAGAUGUCCGGGGCUGCACGCGCGCUACACUGAAAGAAUCAGAGUGCGCAAUACCUAGUUCGGAAGGACCGGGUAACCCAAGUAAAUUCUUUCGUGCUUGGGAUAGGGAAUUGCAAUUAUUUCCCUUAAACGAGGAAUUCCCAGUAAAUGCGGGUCAUAAGCUCGCGUUGAUUACGUCCCUGCCCUUUGUACACACCGCCCGUCGCUACUACCGAUUGGAUGACUUAGUGA
This 519-nucleotide ribosomal RNA is filed under the name uncultured eukaryote. Its description in RNAcentral is "SSU rRNA". It matches the Rfam family "Eukaryotic small subunit ribosomal RNA", at positions 1161 to 1704 of the family's 1831-position model. The record is from RNAcentral.